RNAcentral lists this transfer RNA (76 nucleotides) under Bifidobacterium animalis subsp. lactis Bl12. Its description in RNAcentral is "tRNA-Ala". The stretch from base 23 to 76 matches the Rfam family "tRNA", at positions 1 to 53 of the family's 71-position model. From Rfam's summary of the family: Transfer RNA (tRNA) molecules are approximately 80 nucleotides in length. Lineage: Bacteria; Bacillati; Actinomycetota; Actinomycetes; Bifidobacteriales; Bifidobacteriaceae. The record is from RNAcentral.
GAAGACGACAUAAUUGAAGAUUGGGGCUGUAGCUCAGUUGGUAGAGCGCUUCGUUCGCAUCGAAGAGGUCGUGGUU